UUGAUUAUAUAUAAGAAGUAACUUCCUGCCCAGUGAAAUUUUCAACGGCCGCGGAUUUCCGUGCUAAGGUAGCAUAAUCACUUGUCCUUUAAUUAAGGACUAGAAUGAAUGGAUACACAAAUAAUAACUUUCUUUGUUUUAAUACUAAAAACUAAUAUAUGAAUGAAAAAUUUCAUAUCUUAUAAAAAGACCAAAAGACCCUAUCGAGCUUAAAUAAAUUUAUUUCAAAAUAUAAUUAUUUUUAAUUGGGGCGAUUAAAGAUACAUUUCAUCUUUCAAUAAUAUGAAACAUAAAUUUACCUUAAAAAUAUAAAAUAAAGUUACCGUAGGGAUAACAGGCUACUCAAUUUCAAAAGUUCAUAUUAACAAAUUGUCUUAGCACCUCGAUGUUGGCUUAAGGAUACUUUAAAAUGCAACAGUUUUAAUAAGUAGGCUUGUUCCGCCUUUUAUACCUUACGUGA
RNAcentral lists this ribosomal RNA (460 nucleotides) under Ophryotrocha sp. n. 1 JP-2021. RNAcentral's name for it is "partial large subunit ribosomal RNA". It matches the Rfam family "Bacterial large subunit ribosomal RNA", at positions 1835 to 2603 of the family's 2925-position model. Lineage: Eukaryota; Metazoa; Annelida; Polychaeta; Eunicida; Dorvilleidae. The record is from RNAcentral.